AUGCUGGAGGUAUCAGAAGUGCGAAUGCUGACAUAAGUAACGAUAAUGCGGGUGAAAAACCCGCACGCCGGAAGACCAAGGGUUCCUGUCCAACGUUAAUCGGGGCAGGGUGAGUCGACCCCUAAGGCGAGGCUGAAAAGCGUAGUCGAUGGGAAACGGGUUAAUAUUCCCGUACUGGUGGUAACUGCGAUGGGGGAACGGAGAAGGCUAGGUUGUCCGGGCGACGGUCGUCCCGGUUCAAGCAUGUAGGCAGAGUGAUUAGGCAAAUCCGGUCACUUAAUGCUGAGGUGUGAUGACGAGCCACUAAGGUGGUGAAGCAAUUGAUGCCCUGCUUCCAGGAAAAGCCUCUAAGCUUCAGGUUACCAACAAUCGUACCCCAAACCGACACAGGUGGUCAGGUAGAGAAUACUCAGGCGCUUGAGAGAACUCGGGUGAAGGAACUAGGCAAAAUGGUGCCGUAACUUCGGGAGAAGGCACGCUGGCGGUAAGUGAAGUCCCUUGCGGACGGAGCCGAAGCCAGUCGAAGAUACCAGCUGGCUGCAACUGUUUAUUAAAAACACAGCACUGUGCAAACACGAAAGUGGACGUAUACGGUGUGACGCCUGCCCGGUGCUGGAAGGUUAAUUGAUGGGGUUAUCCUUAGGGAGAAGCUCUUGAUCGAAGCCCCAGUAAACGGCGGCCGUAACUAUAACGGUCCUAAGGUAGCGAAAUUCCUUGUCGGGUAAGUUCCGACCUGCACGAAUGGCGUAAUGAUGGCCAGGCUGUCUCCACCCGAGACUCAGUGAAAUUGAACUCGCUGUGAAGAUGCAGUGUACCCGCGGCAAGACGGAAAGACCCCGUGAACCUUUACUAUAGCUUGACACUGAACAUUGAGCCUUGAUGUGUAGGAUAGGUGGGAGACUAUGAAGUGUGGACGCCAGUCUGCAUGGAGUCAACCUUGAAAUACCACCCUUUAACGUUUGAUGUUCUAACCUAGGCCCGUAAUCCGGGUCGGGGACCGUGUCUGGUGGGUAGUUUGACUGGGGCGGUCUCCUCCUAAAGAGUAACGGAGGAGCACGAAGGUUGGCUAAGCAUGGUCGGACAUCAUGCGGUUAGUGCAAAGGCAUAAGCCAGCUUGACUGUGAGAGUGACGGCUCGAGCAGGUACGAAAGUAGGUCUUAGUGAUCCGGUGGUUCUGAAUGGAAGGGCCAUCGCUCAACGGAUAAAAGGUACUCCGGGGAUAACAGGCUGAUACCGCCCAAGAGUUCAUAUCGACGGCGGUGUUUGGCACCUCGAUGUCGGCUCAUCACAUCCUGGGGCUGAAGUAGGUCCCAAGGGUAUGGCUGUUCGCCAUUUAAAGUGGUACGCGAGCUGGGUUUAGAACGUCGUGAGACAGUUCGGUCCCUAUCUGCCGUGGGCGUUGGAAGAUUGAGAGGGGUUGCUCCUAGUACGAGAGGACCGGAGUGAACGCACCACUGGUGUUCGGGUUGUCAUGCCAAUGGCAUUGCCCGGUAGCUAAGUGCGGAAGAGAUAACCGCUGAAAGCAUCUAAGCGGGAAACUUGCCUCGAGAUGAGUCUUCCCUGUCACCUUGAGUGACCUAAAGGAACGUUUAAGACUAAGACGUUGAUAGGCUGGGUGUGUAAGCGUAGCGAUACGUUGAGCUAACCAGUACUAAUGAACCGUGAGGCUUAACCUG
RNAcentral lists this ribosomal RNA (1676 nucleotides) under Proteus vulgaris. RNAcentral describes it as "partial 23S ribosomal RNA". It matches the Rfam family "Bacterial large subunit ribosomal RNA", at positions 1270 to 2925 of the family's 2925-position model. Lineage: Bacteria; Pseudomonadati; Pseudomonadota; Gammaproteobacteria; Enterobacterales; Morganellaceae. The record is from RNAcentral.